This 501-nucleotide ribosomal RNA is filed under the name uncultured bacterium. RNAcentral describes it as "bacterial SSU rRNA". It matches the Rfam family "Bacterial small subunit ribosomal RNA", at positions 32 to 508 of the family's 1533-position model. The record is from RNAcentral.
AAUCAACGCUGGCGGCGUGCCUAACACAUGCAAGUCGAACGCGAAAGCCCCGCAAGGGGUAAGUAGAGUGGCAAACGGGUGAGUAACACGUGGGUGAUCUGCCUCAGAGUGGGGGAUAACGACCCGAAAGGGUCGCUAAUACCGCAUAACAUCCUGCCUUUGGAUAGGUGGAGAUCAAAGCUAGGGAUCGCAAGACCUGGCGCUUGGAGAGGAGCCCGCGGCCGAUUAGCUAGUUGGUGAGGUAAUGGCUCACCAAGGCAACGAUCGGUAUCCGGCCUGAGAGGGCGGACGGACACACUGGGACUGAGACACGGCCCAGACUCCUACGGGAGGCAGCAGUGGGGAAUUGUUCGCAAUGGGCGAAAGCCUGACGACGCAACGCCGCGUGGAGGACGAAGAUCUUCGGGUCGUAAACUCCUUUCGAUCGGGAAGAAUGGCUUUCGGGUUAAUAGCCCGGAGGAAUGACGGUACCGAGAGAAGAAGCCCCGGCUAACUCUGUGC